GGGCCCAUAGCUCAGUGGUAGAGCUCCCGGCUCAUAACCGGUCGGUCAUAGGUUCGAAUCCUAUUGGGCCCACCA
RNAcentral lists this transfer RNA (75 nucleotides) under bacterium. RNAcentral's name for it is "tRNA-Ile". It matches the Rfam family "tRNA". Rfam says of the family: Transfer RNA (tRNA) molecules are approximately 80 nucleotides in length. RNAcentral also lists the same sequence under 3 other names. The record is from RNAcentral.